AGGGAUGACUGUGGCUAGGGGUGAAAGGCAUCAAACUCGAGAUAGCUGGUUCUCCGCGAAAUCUAUUUAGGUAGAGCGUCGGAUGAAUACUUCAGGGGGUAGAGCACUGGAUGGGCUAGGGGGUCCCAACGACUUACCAAACUAACCAAACUCCGAAUACUGAAAGUACUAUCCGGCAGACACACUAUGGGUGCUAAGGUCCAUAGUGGAAAGGGAAACAGCCCUGACCGCCAGUUAAGGUCCCUAAAUCACGUGCUAAGUGGGAAAGGAUGUGAGGAUCCCAAAACAACCAGGAUGUUGGCUUAGAAGCAGCCAUCAUUUAAAGAAAGCGUAACAGCUCACUGGUCUAAAUAAGGGUCCUUGCGCCGAAAAUGUAACGGGGCUUAAGCCGUGUACCGAAACUGCGGGUGCGUCUUUAGACGCGCGGUAGCGGAGCGUUCUGUAGGUCUGUGAAGGGUGCUCGCGAGAGUAUCUGGAGAUAUCAGAAGUGAGAAUGCUGACAUGAGUAACGAUAAACAGUGUGAGAGACACUGUCGCCGAAAUCCUAAGGGUUCCUGCUUAAAGCUAAUCUGAGCAGGGUUAGUCGGCCCCUAAGGCGAGGACGAAAGUCGUAGUCGAUGGGAAACAGGUUAAUAUUCCUGUACCGGUGGAUAGUGACGAAUGCCGAAAGUUGUCAAUCCUUAUUGGAUUGGGUUGGCAGCGUAGGAGUUCCAGGAAAUAGCUUCCACAUUAGACCGUACCCGAAACCGACACAGGUAGGAUGGUAGAGUAUACCAAGGCGCUUGAGAGAACUAUGUUGAAGGAACUCGGCAAAAUGCUCCCGUAAGUUCGCGAGAAGGGAGACCUCUUUCCAGGCAACUGGAUGGAGGUGGCACAGACCAGGGGGUGGCGACUGUUUACUAAAAACGUAGGGCUCUGCGAAGCCGUAAGGCGACGUAUAGGGUCUGACGCCUGCCCGGUGCUGGAAGGUUAAAUGGAGGGGUGCAAGCUCCGAAAUGAAGCCCCAGUAAACGGCGGCCGUAACUAUAACGGUCCUAAGGUAGCGAAAUUCCUCUCGUCGGGUAAGUUCCGACCUGCACGAAUGGCGUAACGACUUCCCCGCUGUCUCCAACAUAGACUCAGUGAAAUUGAACUCCCCGUGAAGAUGCGGGGUUCCUGCGGUUAGACGGAAAGACCCCGUGCACCUUUACUACAGCUUCGCACUGGUAUUCGUGACAGCAUGUGUAGGAUAGGUGGUAGGCUUUGAAACUGUGGCGCCAGCUGCGGUGGAGCCGAAAGAUGAAAUACCACCCUUAUUGUUAUGGAUAUCUAACUGCGGCCCGUUAUCCGGGUCCAGGACAUUGCGUGGCGGGUAGUUUGACUGGGGCGGUCGCCUCCCAAACAGUAACGGAGGCGCGCGAAGGUAGGCUCAGGCCGGUCGGAAAUCGGUCGUUGAGUGCAAUGGCAAAAGCCUGCCUGACUGCGAGACUGACAAGUCGAGCAGAGACGAAAGUCGGUCAUAGUGAUCCGGUGGUCCCGCGUGGAAGGGCCAUCGCUCAACGGAUAAAAGGUACGCCGGGGAUAACAGGCUGAUGACGCCCAAGAGUCCAUAUCGACGGCGUUGUUUGGCACCUCGAUGUCGGCUCAUCGCAUCCUGGGGCUGGAGCAGGUCCCAAGGGUUUGGCUGUUCGCCAAUUAAAGCGGUACGUGAGCUGGGUUUAGAACGUCGUGAGACAGUUCGGUCCCUAUCUGCCGUGGGUGUAAGAGAAUUGAGAGGAGCUGCCCCUAGUACGAGAGGACCGGGGUGGACGUACCUCUGGUGGACCUGUUGUCGCGCCAGCGGCAUAGCAGGGUAGCUAUGUACGGAAGGGAUAACCGCUGAAAGCAUCUAAGCGGGA
This 1877-nucleotide ribosomal RNA is filed under the name uncultured bacterium. RNAcentral describes it as "bacterial LSU rRNA". It matches the Rfam family "Bacterial large subunit ribosomal RNA", at positions 800 to 2790 of the family's 2925-position model. The record is from RNAcentral.